Salvelinus sp. IW2-2015 is the source of this 345-nucleotide non-coding RNA. NCBI's taxonomy places the organism in Eukaryota, Metazoa, Chordata, Actinopteri, Salmoniformes, Salmonidae. The record is from RefSeq and is a predicted model, not a curated record.
AUUUACUCCUAUGGGUUAAGGGUCAUUUACACCAUAUGGGUUAAGGGUCAUUUACACCAUAUGGGUUAAGGGUCAUUUACUCCAUAUGGGUUAAGGGUCAUUUACACCAUAUGGGUUAAGGGUCAUUUACACCAUAUGGGUUAAGGGUCAUUUUACACCAUAUGGGUUAAGGGUCAUUUACUCCAUAUGGGUUAAGGGUCAUUUACACCAUAUGGGUUAAGGGUCAUUUACACCAUAUGGGUUAAGGGUCAUUUACACCAUAUGGGUUAAGGGUCAUUUACUCCAUAUGGGUUAAGGGUCAUUUACACCAUUGGGUUAAGGGUCAUUUACACCAUAUGGGUUAAG